RNAcentral lists this ribosomal RNA (450 nucleotides) under uncultured bacterium. Its description in RNAcentral is "partial 16S ribosomal RNA". It matches the Rfam family "Bacterial small subunit ribosomal RNA", at positions 354 to 796 of the family's 1533-position model. The record is from RNAcentral.
GUGGGGAAUCUUCCGCAAUGGACGAAAGUCUGACGGAGCAACGCCGCGUGAGUGAUGAAGGUCUUCGGAUUGUAAAGCUCUGUUAAUCGGGACGAAAGAGCCUAGUGUGAAUAAUGCUAGGAAGUGACGGUACCGGAAUGGAAAGCCACGGCUAACUACGUGCCAGCAGCCGCGGUAAUACGUAGGUGGCAAGCGUUGUCCGGAAUUAUUGGGCGUAAAGCGCGCGCAGGCGGAUCUGCCAGUCUGUCUUAAAAGUUCGGGGCUUAACCCCGUGAUGGGAUGGAAACUACAGAUCUAGAGUAUCGGAGAGGAAAGUGGAAUUCCUAGUGUAGCGGUGAAAUGCGUAGAUAUUAGGAAGAACACCAGUGGCGAAGGCGACUUUCUGGACGAAAACUGACGCUGAGGCGCGAAAGCCAGGGGAGCGAACGGGAUUAGAUACCCUUGUAGUCC